RNAcentral lists this long non-coding RNA (1790 nucleotides) under Homo sapiens (human). RNAcentral describes it as "non-protein coding lnc-RCAN1-5:2". Lineage: Eukaryota; Metazoa; Chordata; Mammalia; Primates; Hominidae. The record is from RNAcentral.
ACUCUUUGACCUGGCCUCGGUAUCCUCACAUUUAAAAUGAGGAGUUGGCUUAUAUGAUUGGCUGGCAUAUUUGGCUCAUCUCGAAGACUGUCUAUUAUAGAAGGGCAAAUGGUAGUGCCUCAUUGCAGGUGUGGAGCCUUUGACUUGAGGACAUCGGCAGAAACUAGAUGAUCAGACCAAGCCCGGGAGCUUGUCCUUUUCCGAGCGGCUCAGUGAACUGGAGCAGCUGCGGCGCACAGCCAUGAGGGUCAGCCCACACCACCCAGCCCCCACGCCCAACCCUCGUGCCUCCCUGAACCACUCCACUGCCUUUAACCCUCAGCCUCAGAGUCAGAUGCAGGGUAAGUACCAGAUGGAGCCCACUGCCCGCCUCUCCUGCACCUGGGCCACCACCCACAACUGGCCCCCAUGUGCACACACCUUCCCAGACCAACUGGGGUUUCCCCUUGAUGCUCAGAGAAAGGCCUCGAACCAACAGCACCACCUGGGAGCUGUUGGAAAUGCAGAGUCUUGGGCCCCACCCACCCCAGACCCACCGAGUCAGAUCUGCAUUGUAACCAGAUCCCCACAAGGAAAAGCACUGCUACAGAGGAUACGAGGAGCUCUGGGUAUGGAUAUCCAUAUUGGAUAGAUAGCUCUCUUGAAUUUUUUAAGAGUUAGCUUUGGCUAUGCUAUUUUUUUACCUACCCAUUAGGCUUGAAGACACACACGCAGACACACACACACACACACGUCAAGCAAAGUGAAGAUGGGAUGUUUCAAGUUCUCGCUAUUGCCAGAUUAUUUGUGGGUUUUGUAUCUAGUGUUUUUUUAUUAUUAAGAAAUAGUUGAAAUGUAUGGAUGUCAUCACAUCAAGGGUGUUAUUUGCAAAUCAAUAGAGAAUGCAGGUCCCCCCAGCCCAUGGGGCUAGCUGGCAAUUACUAAAGCGCUGUAAGAUGCAAUAAUUGCCUAAGGCCCACUGUGCCAAAUUAGAUAAUACAAGAAGUUCAUUUACACUGUAGACCAGUGACGUCAAUGACUGUUUGCUCUGUGAUACCGUUUCAAAAAUCCAAAAUGCAGACUUUUCUCUGUGCCAUGCAGGAUGCAGCUGUGUGUGAUAUGGUUUACAGUAAUAUUUCUUUCUCAAAGUAGCAGGCUUGUUAAGGAAAAGAUAAGCAACACAUCUGGGGAAAAGGGCAGGUGGCCAGCAAUCGAUGUGGUAGCUCUUUGCCCCUCUCGGACAGCAGGAAUUAGCUUCCCCAGGCAUUUUCUGUAUGUGAGUUGUAUUGUGGGAUGUACAAAUAUCAUCUGUUCCUUUGGGUUUCCAGGCCAGUAGCUCUCUAUUUUGGGUUCAAACAUGGGUUCUCAGGCCGGGCGCGGUGGCUCACACGUGUAAUCCCAGCACUUUGGGAGGCCAAGGCGGGCGGAUCACGAGGUCAGGAGAUGGAGACCAUCCUGGCUAACAUGGUGAAACCCCAACUCUACUAAAAAUACAAAAAAUUAGGCAGGCAUGGUGGCGGGUGCCUGUAGUCCCAGCUACUCAGGAGGCUGAGGCAGGAGAAUGGUGUGAACCCGGGAGGUUGGAGGUUGCAGUAAGCCGAGAUUGCACCACUGCACUCCAGCCUGGGCAACAGAGCGAGACUCCAUCUCAAAAAACAAACAAACAAACAAACAAAAACAUGGGUUCUCAAAAGGCAUGCCCACUGUCUCCCAUGGAGCUUGACAGCCCAUGCCAUUAGCUCUCACUGUUAGGUUUCUGGGGAAGGUUCUUCUACUUGAUUGGAAAAUUUCCAAAUAAAUCUUUCCAGAAG